RNAcentral lists this ribosomal RNA (254 nucleotides) under uncultured bacterium. RNAcentral describes it as "partial 16S ribosomal RNA". It matches the Rfam family "Bacterial small subunit ribosomal RNA", at positions 524 to 776 of the family's 1533-position model. The record is from RNAcentral.
UACGGGGGGGGCAAGCGUUGUUCGGAGUUACUGGGCGUAAAGAGCUCGUAGGCAGUUCAGCAAGUCGGCUGUGAAAUUCCGAGGCUCAACCUCGGAACUGCAGUCGAUACUGCUGUGACUCGAGUCCGGUAGAGGAGAAUGGAAUUCCCGGUGUAGCGGUGAAAUGCGCAGAUAUCGGGAGGAACACCAGUAGCGAAGGCGGUUCUCUGGGCCGGUACUGACGCUGAGGAGCGAAAGCGUGGGGAGCAAACAGG